GACGAACGCUGGCGGCGUGCUUAACACAUGCAAGUCGAACGGAAAGGCCCUGCUUUUGUGGGGUGCUCGAGUGGCGAACGGGUGAGUAACACGUGAGUAACCUGCCCUUGACUUUCGGAUAACUUCACGAAACUGGGGCUAAUACAGGAUAGGAGCUCCUGCUGCAUGGUGGGGGUUGGAAAGUUUCGGCGGUUGGGGAUGGACUCGCGGCUUACCAGCUUGUUGGUGGGGUAGGGGCUUACCAAGGCUUUGACGGGUAGCCGGCCUGAGAGGGUGACCGGCCACAUUGGGACUGAGAGACGGCCCAGACUCCUACGGGAGGCAGCAGUGGGGAAUAUUGCACAAUGGGCGGAAGCCUGAUGCAGCAACGCCGCGUGCGGGAUGACGGCCUUCGGGUUGUAAACCGCUUUCGCCUGUGACGAAGCGUGAGUGACGGUAAUGGGUAAAGAAGCACCGGCUAACUACGUG
RNAcentral lists this ribosomal RNA (468 nucleotides) under uncultured bacterium. RNAcentral describes it as "partial 16S ribosomal RNA". It matches the Rfam family "Bacterial small subunit ribosomal RNA", at positions 28 to 507 of the family's 1533-position model. The record is from RNAcentral.